This 309-nucleotide ribosomal RNA is filed under the name Triticum aestivum (bread wheat). Its description in RNAcentral is "partial small subunit ribosomal RNA". The record is from RNAcentral. Lineage: Eukaryota; Viridiplantae; Streptophyta; Magnoliopsida; Poales; Poaceae.
AUGGCGCAAAAGCAGAUAUGGUCCGGUAUUCCCUUGUUCCCCGUAUUGGUUAUGUUCCUUAUUCCUCGUCUAGCAGAAACUAAUCGAGCUCCGUCUGAUCUCCCAGAAGCGGAAGCUGAAUUAGCUGCAGGCUAUAAUGUAGAAUAUGCGCGGGAUGCGAUCCUUAAUAGUUCACUGUUGGCGGAAGCCAAUGUCUCGGGGACUCAUUCUGACUUAAACAAGGGGUGGGUCUUUACCAACUUCCAAAUCCAAGAUUUAGGGGAAAAAAGAGGGGCAGGGCACUCUUCAUUCUUCAUUCGAAACUCAUGA